This 71-nucleotide transfer RNA is filed under the name Bracteacoccus aerius. RNAcentral describes it as "tRNA-Phe". It matches the Rfam family "tRNA". Rfam says of the family: Transfer RNA (tRNA) molecules are approximately 80 nucleotides in length. Their secondary structure includes four short double-helical elements and three loops (D, anti-codon, and T loops). The record is from RNAcentral. Lineage: Eukaryota; Viridiplantae; Chlorophyta; Chlorophyceae; Sphaeropleales; Bracteacoccaceae.
GCCAUUGAAGCUCAAAGGUUGAGCAUGGGUUUGAAAAACCCGGGGUUGUUCGUUCGAAUCGAAUCGAUGGC